RNAcentral lists this ribosomal RNA (374 nucleotides) under uncultured organism. RNAcentral describes it as "bacterial SSU rRNA". It matches the Rfam family "Bacterial small subunit ribosomal RNA", at positions 526 to 896 of the family's 1533-position model. The record is from RNAcentral.
CGUAGGAGACAAACGUUAUCCGGAGUUACUGGGCGUAAAGGGCGUGCAGGUGGUCUGUUAAGUCUGGCGUGAAAGCUCUCGGCUAAACCGGGAGGGGUCGUUGGAUACUGGCGGACUAGAGGACGGUAGAGGCGUGUGGAAUUCCGGGUGUAGUGGUGAAAUGCGUAGAGAUCCGGAGGAACACCAGUGGCGAAGGCGACACGCUGGGCCGUACCUGACACUAAUACGCGACAGCAUGGGGAGCGAACGGGAUUAGAAACCCCGGUAGUCCAUGCCGUAAACGAUGCCAGCUAGGUGUUCAAGACGCGCAAGCGGCUGGGGUACCGAAGCUAACGCGAUAAGCUGGCCGCCUGGGGAGUACGGUCGCAAGGCUA